GCCUCCCUAGCUCAGUGGUAGAGCAUCCGCCUUGUAAGCGGAAGGUCGUCAGUUCAAUCCUGACGGGGGGCUCUA
Molecule: transfer RNA, 75 nt
Filed under: Candidatus Nanopelagicaceae bacterium
Lineage: Bacteria; Bacillati; Actinomycetota; Actinomycetes; Candidatus Nanopelagicales; Candidatus Nanopelagicaceae
Description: tRNA-Thr
Rfam family: tRNA
About the family: Transfer RNA (tRNA) molecules are approximately 80 nucleotides in length. Their secondary structure includes four short double-helical elements and three loops (D, anti-codon, and T loops).
Source: RNAcentral